CAAUAGCGUAUAUUAAAGUUGUUGCGGUUAAAAAGCUCGUAGUUGGAUUUCUGCCGAGGACGACCGGUCCGCCCUCUGGGUGAGUAUCUGGCUCGGCCUGGGCAUCUUCUUGGAGAACGUAGCUGCACUUGACUGUGUGGUGCGGUAUCCAGGACUUUUACUUUGAGGAAAUUAGAGUGUUUCAAGCAGGCUUACGCCUUGAAUACAUUAGCAUGGAAUAAUAAGAUAGGACCUCGGUUCUAUUUUGUUGGUUUCCGAGACUGGAGUAAUGAUUAAGAGGGACAGUCGGGGGCAUCCGUAUUUCAUUGUCAGAGGUGAAAUUCUUGGAUUUAUGAAAGACGAACUUCUGCGAAAGCAUUUGCCAAGGAUGUUUUCAUUAA
RNAcentral lists this ribosomal RNA (380 nucleotides) under uncultured eukaryote. Its description in RNAcentral is "partial 18S ribosomal RNA". It matches the Rfam family "Eukaryotic small subunit ribosomal RNA", at positions 592 to 976 of the family's 1831-position model. The record is from RNAcentral.